This 706-nucleotide long non-coding RNA is filed under the name Dromaius novaehollandiae (emu). RNAcentral describes it as "lncRNA (ENSDNVG00000001863.1)". Lineage: Eukaryota; Metazoa; Chordata; Aves; Casuariiformes; Dromaiidae. The record is from RNAcentral.
CCGGGUUGCUGUGGGGGGCGAUCCGCAGCCGCCGAGGCGCAGGCUGCGGGGGAGGGGCGGGGGCUCCGUCCCAGGCGCUCGGGUGGGAGCCUGGACGCGGGCGGGAGGAUGUCUGACUCAGAGCUGCAUCCUCUGAGGCAGACACACUUCACGUCGGUCCGCUCCUCCCGCCCUCCCCGACUUCCUCCUCACGUCCAGCAUUACUCUCAAUACACCUUUUUAAAUCUCAACCCGAGGAGUGAAUUUUCGCGACAAGGGAACGAGAGGAGCAGUGAAUGAGUCUGGUUUCCCCUCUAGGGAAUGGCACUUACAGGGAGAGCAGAUAGCGUUUCCAGCUGACUCACCUGCGUCUGACUCACCCCAGGCAGUGGAGCGCUGCUCUUCGGAUACAGCCCCGAGUCCCCCGUGAGGUAAAGGCAGCAAGUUUGGGAAGCUGCAGACAGACACAAGGAUGCAAGUGCCAUUGCCCUAGAUAGAGCUGCCCUGCCCACAGAUAAAUGAGUGGUCCUGCUGCGUCUAGGCAGCGUUAGGCACGUUCAGCACGUCCUGCAGAGGUGGUCAGGGUCGCCCACUGUGGUCUAUGUGGAUCAAACGUACUGAUCACACAGAGAUGAACAUUACGGCAUAGGUCCUUCAAGCCUGAUGCAGCUGGGGGCUUUGGGCUUGCGGUGCAAGCGCAGGUAAGGCGUCCGGAGUGUGCCCGGUG